Molecule: ribosomal RNA, 235 nt
Filed under: uncultured bacterium
Lineage: Bacteria
Description: partial 16S ribosomal RNA
Rfam family: Bacterial small subunit ribosomal RNA
Source: RNAcentral
GAUCAUGGCUCAGGACGAACGCUGGCGGCGUGCCUAAUACAUGCAAGUCGAACGAGAGCGACCGGUGCUUGCACUGGUCAAUCUAGUGGCGAACGGGUGAGUAACACGUGGGUAACCUGCCCAUCAGAGGGGGAUAACAUUCGGAAACGGAUGCUAAAACCGCAUAGGUUCUUGAGCCGCAUGGCUCAAGAAGGAAAAGAGGCUUCGACUUCUGCUGAUGGAUGGACCCGCGGUG